GGGGAAUUUUGGACAAUGGGCGCAAGCCUGAUCCAGCCAUUCCGCGUGCAGGAUGAAGGCCCUCGGGUUGUAAACUGCUUUUGUACGGAACGAAACGGCCUGCUCUAAUACAGCGGGCUAAUGACGGUACCGUAAGAAUAAGCACCGGCUAACUACGUGCCAGCAGCCGCGGUAAUCCGUAGGUGGCAAGCGUUGUCCGGAUUUAUUGGGCGUAAAGCGCGCGCAGGCGGAUUGGUUAGUCCGGGGUGAAAACUCACGGCUCAACUGUGAGCGGUCCCCGGAUACUGCCCGUCUUGAGGGGUCUAGAGGAGAGCGGAAUUCCCGGUGUAGUGGUGGAAUGCGUAGAUAUCGGGAAGAACACCAGUGGCGAAAGCGGCUCUCUGGGGACCACCUGACGCUGAGGCGCGAAAGCGUGGGGAGCGAA
Molecule: ribosomal RNA, 424 nt
Filed under: uncultured bacterium
Lineage: Bacteria
Description: bacterial SSU rRNA
Rfam family: Bacterial small subunit ribosomal RNA
Source: RNAcentral